GCAGCGCCGCGGCCGGGCGCCCCCGCGGGAGGCCACAGCCACCCGGGCGCGCAUCCAGUCGCCGCGCCUCGGCCGGCUCGCUGCGCCCGGGGGCUCGGCGGACCCCGCGUCGCCGCUUCGGAGCUGGCGCGGCGCGGGCGGCCCGGCGGGGCGGCCGGCCGGGGCCCGGCCCGCCUCCCCAGCACCCGCCCCGGUUUCUCCCCCUGGCGGCGGGAGCCUCCGCGGCCGCUGGCAGCCCUGGGCGCACGGGAGCCCGAGCUGAGCCGAGCCCGAGCCGCCGCCGCCGCCGCCGCCGCCGCUGCUGCCGCCGCCGCGCGCGCCGCUCCCGGGCCCCCUCCCAGCGCGCCGGCCGGGGUGGGGGCGGGGGCUGGAGGGCCCGGGGUGGGCGAGGGGCACGCGCCGGGGUUAGCGGCGAAGAACGGACCCUGGGCCGCUAGGGGAUACUGCUGAUCUCUGCUGUCGGGAGUGGUUACCUGCAGAACCCAUGUGUGCAUAACCUCCACCAUUUCACCAAUGUCAUCUGCCUCGAUCAAGUCCACCUGUCACUCACUGACAAAAUUCUUUGAUUGAACUCCCUAAUAGUUAUCAGCUCUAUAAUACAGCAGAGUGGACAGUGAGAAAGAGAGAGAGACAGAGAGAAAGGUCUUCCUUGUCCGUUGGUUCAACCCCCAAUGGCCAUUGCGGCCGGUGCGCUGAUCCGAAGCCAGGAGCCAGGUGCUUCCUCCUGGUCUCCCAUGUGGGUGCAGGGCCCAAGCACUUGGGCCAUCCUCCACGGCACUCCAGGCCACAGCAGAGAGCUGGACUGGAAGAGGAGCAACUUGGACAGAAUCUGGUGCCCCGACCAGGACUAGAACCCGGGGUGCCCACGCCGCAGGCGGAGGAUUAGCCUAUUGAGCCACGGUGCCGGCCAAUGACAAUUUCUUAAUUUGAUCAUUGUAUAAUGGUUAAUCAGAGAGAAACAUUAGGUGAAACUCAGUAAAGGCACUCUCUGUACUAUCUUUGCAACUUUCCUGUAAAUAUAAAAUCAUUUGAAAAUGAAAUGAAUGAAGAAAAAUUCCAUGCCUUUGUAACAGAUGGAAUGGGUAUCUCCUUUAUCCCAAGAGACACCAGCAUUCAUCCAUUGGUUUUGUGAUGAAAAGGCAAAGGAUAUGAUGGCAGAAGCAUUUCUUCUCUUAAUCAACCGUGGCUUUCACAUCUUUUAUGCUUUUAUAGAAUAAAAAUUCUAUUCAUGA
Non-coding RNA from Oryctolagus cuniculus (rabbit), 1232 nucleotides. NCBI's taxonomy places the organism in Eukaryota, Metazoa, Chordata, Mammalia, Lagomorpha, Leporidae. The record is from RefSeq and is a predicted model, not a curated record.